Molecule: non-coding RNA, 28 nt
Filed under: Homo sapiens (human)
Lineage: Eukaryota; Metazoa; Chordata; Mammalia; Primates; Hominidae
Source: RNAcentral
UGCUCAGAGAUUUUGACAGGACAAAGGC